CUUUUUCAGACUGUAACUAAACUGAACUCAAGUUGGGAUCAAAAAUGUUCUUUUAUUAAAACCAGUAAAACAUUCAGCUGAACUGGUUGUGGUUUUUAAAUAAUAGAAUAUAUAAAUAAAGAAUAUUUCCAUUUCCAUAUUCAGAACAAUUAUGAUUUCUGAAGUUCAGCCCUGGUCUAAAAAGACUGUUUAUCUUAAGAUUGUAAUUAAAUGUUUUGGCCCCUAGGUGGAGCUGGUAGGUAAACAUUAUCGGGUCCAGAGCAGUUCUCACCUGUGGUUCCAGAUGUUGGAGAACCAGUCUCCCCAGCACCUUCAUGAUGUGUGCUGUGAAGGAGACCCGUCUAAAGCGGGUCAGGCCAGAUGUAUCGGCGUUCUUCGGUACCGACACGACACAGGGUGUUGUCCCGGCAGUCCAGACAUCCUCUCCUGCAGUAGACUGAGGUUAAAGAUGACCUUCAGCUCCAGUCUCUAAAGUCAGCAUCUCUCAGGAAGAAAACAGGAUCGUCUGCAGCUCAGAGGGGAUCUACCCUGAACCUGAACUCAGCUGGUCCACCAUCCCUCCAUCCAACACCACCCUGCAGAACAGAACCACAGUCCAGAGGACUGUAGAGAAGCUUUACAGCAUCAGCAGCUCUCUGAUGGUUUCAGAUGAUGAUCCUGGUCUGACCUACAGCUGCACCAUCAGAACUCAGAGGAACAACAUGACAGCCACUAUUAGUAAAAAAUAAAUACAUAAAUAAUAAAUAAACUGAACUGAAUUAAAAACUGAAUUCAAUUCAGUUUUUAUUAAAUCUAAAUCCAUGUUUGAUGAAUGAAUCAUUUUAAUAACUCCUCAUUUUAACCACGACUUUAACUUCAAAACUCAACACAUCUAAAAAUGAUUUUCUGCUCGGAUGCCAGAUGUCGUCUUUCUCAUGUUCUAAAGUUAUUUAUGUAACAGGGGGAAGAUCUAGGAAUCCAGGUUCUGUAGAGCAGCUUCUAGUUCUGUGGACUUCAUGAGGAGCUGCAGGGUGAAGGUUUUACCUCCACAGCCCUAAACAUGAUGAAAAUCUAUGAUCUGACCUCAGCAGAGCAGAGCUGUAAGAUGAGCCACAGAUCCAACAGAACCAGAACCGUUCUACAGGAAGAACAGAGAAAAUCCUCCAAACAAGAUCUUAAAGUCUCUGAGCUGCUACAGAAAGUGUUUCUAAUGCUAUCAAAGGAGUUGCUGGAGAAGAAGAAACUUUAUCUUUACCAAAUUUAUAUUUUACCGUCAGAAAGAAGGAAAUAAAUAAUAUUUUAUUAAAAAUCAUCAAGAAAAGC
This is a long non-coding RNA of Girardinichthys multiradiatus, 1302 nucleotides long. RefSeq lists it as uncharacterized. The record is from RefSeq and is a predicted model, not a curated record. The transcript has 3 exons. NCBI's taxonomy places the organism in Eukaryota, Metazoa, Chordata, Actinopteri, Cyprinodontiformes, Goodeidae.